Molecule: non-coding RNA, 283 nt
Organism: Oncorhynchus mykiss (rainbow trout)
Lineage: Eukaryota; Metazoa; Chordata; Actinopteri; Salmoniformes; Salmonidae
Source: RefSeq, a predicted model, not a curated record
AGGCUGGGACAGGGGGUGGGGGGGACAGAGGCACACAGCCCAGACCACACACCAGCAGCAUUCCCACAAGCCUCUGCAACAGAGAUGGACGUAGAGGCGCUAGUGGACCGGACAUUAAGACGUCUUUACCUCUCACAUUCAGCAGCAGAAAGGCCAUGUAUUUUCCCUCCCAUCAACCCUGCUACUCAAAGCAAAGAGAGGGGAGACCCAGCCAAGCUCCCCCUCCGGGAGCUCCCCCUCCAGGAGCUCCCCAUCCAGGAGCACCAGAGGAAAGUGGAGGGCA